GGUAGCUCAGCUGGAUAGAGCAACGGCCUUCUAAGCCGUGGGUCGCAGGUUCGAAUCCUGUC
RNAcentral lists this transfer RNA (62 nucleotides) under uncultured Anaeroplasma sp. It matches the Rfam family "tRNA", at positions 7 to 64 of the family's 71-position model. Rfam says of the family: Transfer RNA (tRNA) molecules are approximately 80 nucleotides in length. Lineage: Bacteria; Bacillati; Mycoplasmatota; Mollicutes; Anaeroplasmatales; Anaeroplasmataceae. The record is from RNAcentral.